Long non-coding RNA from Telopea speciosissima, 451 nucleotides. RefSeq lists it as uncharacterized. NCBI's taxonomy places the organism in Eukaryota, Viridiplantae, Streptophyta, Magnoliopsida, Proteales, Proteaceae. The transcript has 2 exons. The record is from RefSeq and is a predicted model, not a curated record.
AUUAAUUUUUUUUUUUUUUAUAUACAUGACAGUCCUUUUUAUUUUACUGAUUCUUUCCAGUUCUCUUCCAGUGAAAAUCAUACCUGACAGAAAAUCAAAACAAUCUUUGGGAUUUGCAUAUGUUUGGUUUACUAAUGAAGAGUCUGCCCAAUUGGCUGCCAAAGAGAUGGAUGGAAAGUUUCUUGAUGGCAGGUUUGUUGUUGCUAUGAUUGCAAAGCCUGAAUCUCCUUCAAGUCAGUUGAAGUUUACACCUUACAAGUUUUGAUCAGAACAUUCUGUCACUCCUGCGUUUUAGCUUCAGCCCAUUGGAAUUCCUCUUUUUGUUGGUAGGAUAUGCAAAUAAUUCUUUAAUCUCUAUUCUGGUUUUAGUUGUGGAUCUGAAUCUUCCUAUUUGCAUGCCAGCCAAUAAAUUAACAAAAAAUAGGUGACGUAAAACUAUUGGAACUGUCAA